Molecule: ribosomal RNA, 450 nt
Filed under: uncultured bacterium
Lineage: Bacteria
Description: bacterial SSU rRNA
Rfam family: Bacterial small subunit ribosomal RNA
Source: RNAcentral
GUGGGGAAUAUUGGACAAUGGGCGAAAGCCUGAUCCAGCCAUGCCGCGUGUGUGAAGAAGGUCUUCGGAUUGUAAAGCACUUUAAGUUGGGAGGAAGGGCAGUAAGUUAAUACCUUGCUGUUUUGACGUUACCGACAGAAUAAGCACCGGCUAACUUCGUGCCAGCAGCCGCGGUAAUACGAAGGGGGCGAGCGUUAUUCGGAAUCACUGGGCGUAAAGCGUGCGUAGGCGGUUUUGUAAGUUAGGAGUGAAAGACCAGGGCUCAACCUUGGAAUUGCUCUUAAAACUGCAAGGCUCGAAUCUCGGAGAGGAUAGCGGAAUUUCCAGUGUAGCAGUGAAAUGCGUAGAUAUUGGAAGGAACACCAGUGGCGUAAGCGGCUAUCUGGACGAGUAUUGACGCUGAGGCACGAAAGCGUGGGGAUCAAACAGGAUUAGAAACCCCAGUAGUCC